Molecule: RNA transcript, 3703 nt
Organism: Eleginops maclovinus (Patagonian blennie)
Lineage: Eukaryota; Metazoa; Chordata; Actinopteri; Perciformes; Eleginopidae
Gene: shrprbck1r
Gene name: sharpin and rbck1 related
Exons: 14
Source: RefSeq, a predicted model, not a curated record
CCCACCACGCAUGCGCAGUGGGGAGUGAAAGCCUUUACGCACAAACAACAGCAGCCAGUGAGUCAAAUUACUGCUGAUAACCUCCAUGUUUACAGGUGUGAAAUAUCCCCUGGAAUACUGUUAAAGCGAAUCGAAACUCUAAGUGAACCUGAAAGGACACUGAGAGGGAGGAGGAGAGUCCUGUGAGCUUUGGGUGAAACAGCUGACAGACAGACGUCACGGACUUGCUUCCUGUUGUGAGAGUGGUUUUGAAAUAUUGAUAAAAAUGUCGUUAAAAGGGACACCGUCGACAGGCUGAACCACCCGGGCCCCGUGUGUCUCAAUGCGGACAGGAUGUCGCUGACUUCAGGAGGUUGGGCACCAGGUUUUACGCAGGACCAGACCCAGGACCAGACCCCCUCCCUCCAGGGUCAAAAUGCCGGGGCCCUGCAGCCUCAACCCGGCUGCCACACCGUCCUCGCGUCGGUGCGGGUUUCGGUGUGCCACUCCGGGAUCCGACCGCUGUGUCUCCCCGGAGCAGGAGAUGUGUCUCUCCGCCUGCAGCUCAGCAUGGACCCGGGGAAGUCCGGGGAAUUCCGGCUUUCGCUCCAGCAGGAGAGCUGGGGGGCCGGCCGCAGUGUGACCAUCACUGAGUUUGAUCUGAGGAGCGUGAACUAUGAGGUGAAGUCACCAAAGUGCCACGAGCUGAGCUUGGCAGCGCCUCCACACGAUCGCAUCAGCUUCAACAUCCACUCCGAGCAGGAGGCGCAGGAGUGGGCCACGGUGGUGCUGUCUUCACUGAGGGAGGCGCACAGAGUCGCCCCUCAAGACAACAGUCCACAGCGCCUCCCCGAUGCUCUCCAUCUCGAGAACACAGCGGCCUUGCAACGAACAGAGGACACCUGCAUAGAGCUGACACGAGCCAUAGAGGCAGGCGACAUGCAGUCUGCGUCGCUCUUUGCUGCAACGCUCGCCCGACAACAUGCCACGCUGAAGAUCCAGCCGUCCACCAGAGACGUGGAGGACAAUGAAAUCAACUUGGUCGUUGCUGUGGAGGAUUCUUCUUCGUCCUGUUGCGUCACUGUGAAAGUUUUCCCACAUAUGACGAUAGCUGCACUGAAACAGCAGAUGUUCCUUGAGUACGGCUUCCACCCGCGGGUGCAGCGCUGGGUGAUCGGUCAGUGUCUGUGCAGCGACCAGCGCUCCCUGGCCUCGUACGGGAUUCGUCAGAACGACCUCUCGGCCUUCCUGUACCUCCUGUCCGCCCGGCACUCUCGUCUCACCCUCCAGGCCCUGCAGCAGGACCAGGAGAGCGCCCUUCUCCUCACCCCUCCGUCUCUGCCUCUUCCGGGUCCCCCGCUGCCUGCUACCUCUGCUAACGGCCCCUCGUCUCUCGACCGGAGGCCUUACACCACCCUGCCUGCGAGGCUCCACCCCAGCACCAGCAGCACGGGUGGGUCUGAGAGAGGGAACAUCCGUGAGAUCAGAGACCUAGCCAACAUGGAGAUGCCCCAACUCAACAGAGCACUGAUCCCCAACACAGCCUCCACACAGGGUUGGUCGUGCCCGUCCUGCACCUACAUCAACAAACCCACGCGGCCAGGCUGUGAGAUCUGCAGCACGAACCGCCCGGAGAGCUACGUGGUGCCGGGGGGGUACCGGCCCGAUGCACUGGAGCUCAGACGCAUCCAGCAGGAGAAGGACGCGGUCAGACAGUACCAGCAGGCCCGGGAAGCGGAGCGCCGAGAGAACUUCGCCCGGCUGGUGAUGCUGGACGGACAGGACCUGCUGCCGAACCCCGAGCCGGUGGACUGCAGGAUCUGCUACAUGGACCUGCAGCGCGGGGAGGGCGUCCUGCUGAGGGAGUGCCUGCACUGCUUCUGCAGAGAGUGCCUUCGCUCAGUCAUCAUGCUGAGCGAGGAGCCGGAGGUGGCCUGCCCCUACAGAGACGACACGUACUCCUGUACCUGCUCCCUGCAGGAGAGGGAGAUCAGAGCCUUGGUGCCGGCAGAGGAGUACGAGCGCUGGCUGCAGAGAGGGCUGUCAGUGGCUGAGUCUCGAUGUGAGGGCAGCUAUCACUGUGCCACCCCCGACUGUGCCGGCUGGUGUGUGUACGAGGACACGGUCAACGUUUUCCACUGCCCCGUCUGCACGAAGCACAACUGCCUAAUCUGCAAGUCUAUCCACGAGGGAAUGAACUGUAAGCAAUACCAGGAUGACCUCGCAGCCCGCGCUAUAAAUGACUCUGCAGCCCGGAGGACGACACAGCUACUGCAGGCGAGCUGCCAUUCACUUGUGUUUAUUUUUAUGAAGUGAAAAGGAAAGAGAAAGAGGGAUCUAGCCUAAACUCUGGUGCAGUCAGGCGAGGCCAUGCACUGUCCCCAGUGUGGCAUCAUCGUGCAGAAGAGGGACGGAUGUGAUUGGCUGCGCUGCACCGUCUGUCACUCUGAGAUCUGCUGGGUGACCAGAGGGCCGCGCUGGGGGCCAAGGGGUCCCGGAGACACCAGCGGGGGAUGUCGCUGCAACGUCAACAAUCAGAAAUGUCAUCCUAAGUGUCAAAACUGUCACUGAGAAACCUGAAAGAGGUCAGAUAAUAAAAUGCAUUGAGGUAAAGUAUUCUCUAAAAUAGAGAAAAGAGGAUUAAGGUUAAUACAUAACGAAAUGUAAAUUCAAGCUGGAUCCACUUUCUUACCGCUUAUUUUUUUAAGUAAACCUUUUAAAUUAUAUUUAUGUUAUAUAUUAAGGGUCACAUCUCACUUGACAAAUGAUUGCACUGCAGGCGUGUCAUUCUCUGUUUUGGAAGCAGUUCCAAACCAGGAUGCAUUACAUUAAAGCGACAUUUGGGGUUUAUGAAGUGUGGUUGUGUGUUGGUUCUUCUCCAUAUUCAGUUUAUUACCUGCAGUAGAGAAACAGACUGAUAUUUAUGUGUGGAAAAUGUGGUUUUUUUAAGCAGUUUAUGACUUAGCUUCUGUUGGUACUCCUGUCUGUUAGCCAAACUGCAUCUGCUGUGAGUAAUACACUGAUAAUGGAGAAGUUCCUCAUAAGAACAUAAGAACAUCCAAACUACCCCUUUAAACUAAACUGUGGCCUUAUUCUUCUGCACAAAAGCUGUUGCCGGGUGUUUCUGACUUAUAAAUAAUAAGUUAUAAUAAAUCCGUCUUGAUGUGCAAUUUUCUUCAUAGAGCUAUUUCAAACAAAGUUAAUAGAGUUAUAUAUUGUUACGUUUCUGUGUCUGCAUGUGUGCGUGGUCACCAGAGAGGUGUGUCUGAUUGUUUGUUUGAGCGGAAGCAGGCUGCCUGCACGUGUUCACCUCUCACAGGAGUCUGAACCCGACGAGCGGAGUAGAGCUGAGGUUCUGAGUGUUAUACGCUGACAUUAUUAAUAAAUAGUGGAUAAUAGCCAGGUUUUUUUGCAAUACUUGAAUACUUUCGGAAAAGACUCCUUUUGUUGUGAAGCUUAAUAGAUCAGCUGCAUGUUAGCCAGCACACCUACAGCUUUAUUUAAAAGCUUUGUACCCAUGAUGGUAUUUCAUCUAUGCAUGAGUCAUUCAGAUUGAAUCUUCACCAUGUUUAGAGCAUGUGGGCUCUGCACUCUGCCCCCCGACUACACUACUGCCCCCCCACUGACAAGCCAUGAGAAGUCUUCACUGUUACCUGUUCAACACCAGCUCUGUCACUGGUGUUCAGUUGUGCCUUAAUUAUCAAUAAAUACACCUACAAACUCA